RNAcentral lists this ribosomal RNA (427 nucleotides) under uncultured bacterium. RNAcentral's name for it is "partial 16S ribosomal RNA". It matches the Rfam family "Bacterial small subunit ribosomal RNA", at positions 355 to 774 of the family's 1533-position model. The record is from RNAcentral.
UGGGGAAUAUUGGACAAUGGGCGAAAGCCUGAUCCAGCCACGCCGCGUGUGUGAAGAAGGUCUUCGGAUUGUAAAGCACUUUAAGUUGGGAGGAAGGGCAUUAACCUAAUACGUUAGUGUUUUGACGUUACCGACAGAAUAAGCACCGGCUAACUCUGUGCCAGCAGCCGCGGUAAUACAAAGGGUGCAAGCGUUAAUCGGAAUUACUGGGCGUAAAGCGCGCGUAGGUGGUUUGUUAAGUUGGAUGUGAAAGCCCCGGGCUCAACCUGGGAACUGCAUCCAAAACUGGCAAGCUAGAGUACGGUAGAGGGUGGUGGAAUUUCCUGUGUAGCGGUGAAAUGCGUAGAUAUAGGAAGGAACACCAGUGGCGAAGGCGACCACCUGGACUGAUACUGACACUGAGGUGCGAAAGCGUGGGGAGCAAACA